GGAGAAGAAAGCCUAUUGCUAAAAGAUAUCCAAAGAGAUACACAUUCUUAUUUAAAGAGGCUUAGGUAAUUCAAUUUGCCUCUUUUAAAGCAACCAGUGACUGCUAUGGUAGGUAGAAUGGCUUCCCGGAGGUGUCCAAGCCUUCAUUCUCGGAACAUGUGAGUAUGCUACAUUAAAUGACACCUAGGACUUUGCUGGAAUCGUGAAGGGUAGAGACUGUCAGCAGUGAGAGGAAUCUGGACCACCCAGGUGGUCCCACCCUACUGAUAUAAGAAUUUCAAAGUGGAAACUGGUUUACCCCUGGAGUUACAGAUGCCUGGAAGAAGUCAGGGAGGUUUAAAGCAUGAUUAGGGCUGGACCUUCUACUGCUGUCACAUGGAAAGCGUGAGACAAGCCGUAUGGGGCACCGAGAAGUAAGGAUAAGCCCUGGCUGAGAGCACUGAAGAAAUAGGAAUUUAACUUUUACAACCAUGAAUUCAGCCAGAAAUUUGACUAAGCAUAGAAAGGAAGUCACUUCUUGAGCCUUCUUAUAACAUCCUAGCUCAGAAAAUGCCUUGACUUUGGCCUUGUGAGACAGAGAACCCAACAGGGCCCAUCUGGACUCCUGAUCUAUAGUUAUGGUAUAAAAAGUCUAUGCUGUUUAAGCUAAUGUAAUAUGUUGUGGUGCCAAUGGAAAAGUAACAGAACUUCCCAAAUAGAAAUGUGAAUUGUGUUUGAUGAUGCUAAGAAGGCCCAUCUUGAUCUAGUUGCAAUUUUCUUCUAGAGCUGUAUUCCCUGAAGAGUCAAGCUUCUCCCAACAUCACCAUCCUUAACUCCCAUUCUCUAGCCUAGGAUUUUUCAAUGGGGGAAAUUUUAGGAAUUUGUGUCAGAACAAUUCCUCACUAAACAGGAGUUGUCCCCUUACAGGCAAGACCUGACAGUCUUGACUCUUGGGCUCCUAAUGCUGGUGACACUUCCCAGUCAUGGCAUUUGUUCAAUUUGCACACCAAGGCGCCAGAUGCUUCUGCAUUCCAGAGCCACCCAAAGGAUCAGCCUCACCCAAAGGACAGUUUCGUGCAGUGCCCACAUGUCCUGGAGAGUCAUCCCCACCUCUGGCUCUGCAAUGCCCUGGAAUCCAAUCCCACCAGAAAUCGGAUGCGAAAGGGCUUGUUUUCCCUGCUGGCUUGGCUUCUAUGGCUAACUCCCUCCUACCUACCUGGAAGAAUGUGUGACACUGAGUGGGGAUUCAAUUCAUGAUUAAGUAAAUCAGUCAACUUUACAAUGGAUAAAGCUCUGGUCACUCAAUUUCCUCCACAUAGAAGGCGUCAGGACUUACCAGAGCUUUGCCCUGUUCCAUCAUCUCCUCACUCCGGAUUUUAGCUGCUUCCCACAGAAUAGGCAGAGAUAGAAUCUUCUUACUUCUCCCAAAUUUCAAUUUAAAAAUGACAGUUCUCCCACCAAGGAAUAUAUUUUCAUGCCAU
This 1460-nucleotide long non-coding RNA is filed under the name Oryctolagus cuniculus (rabbit). RNAcentral describes it as "lncRNA (ENSOCUG00000038442.1)". The record is from RNAcentral. Lineage: Eukaryota; Metazoa; Chordata; Mammalia; Lagomorpha; Leporidae.